UGAUUGCUGAAGAGUCCCACAAUGGGACGAAACGGCCGUCCAAUAC
This 46-nucleotide non-coding RNA is filed under the name Schistosoma mansoni. The record is from RNAcentral. Lineage: Eukaryota; Metazoa; Platyhelminthes; Trematoda; Strigeidida; Schistosomatidae.